Molecule: ribosomal RNA, 497 nt
Filed under: uncultured bacterium
Lineage: Bacteria
Description: partial 16S ribosomal RNA
Rfam family: Bacterial small subunit ribosomal RNA
Source: RNAcentral
GAUGAACGCUGGCGGCGUGCCUAAUACAUGCAAGUCGAGCGAAAGGACGCGAAGCUGUCUUCGAUGAUGUUAGCGGCGGACGAGUGAGUAACACUUGGCUCACCUACCUAUGAUACUUGGAUAACUUCGUGACUCCGGAGGUAAUCCCCGACGAUAUUCUUAACCGCAUUGUUCAAAAGUGUAUGACGGUCUUGCUGUCACUCAUAGAUUCAUCCGCGGUGUAUUAGCUAGUUGGUAGGGUAACGGCGUACCAAGGCAACGAUGAAUAGCCGACCUGAGCGGGUGAUCGGACACACUGGAACUGAGCCACGGCUGAGACUCCGCCGAGAGGCCGAAGUGGGGAAUCUUUCGGAAAGGGCGAAAGCCGGACGGAGCCACGCCGCGUGAGUGAUGAAGGUCUUCGGAUCGUAAAACUCUUUUAUUAGGGAAGAAGAUAUGUGGAAGUACCGGUGCACGUCUUGACGGUACCUACACAGAAAGCCACGGCUAACUACGUG